This 16972-nucleotide small RNA is filed under the name Pan troglodytes (chimpanzee). RNAcentral's name for it is "processed transcript". The record is from RNAcentral. Lineage: Eukaryota; Metazoa; Chordata; Mammalia; Primates; Hominidae.
AUGCUACUCCCUGCCCUCCUCUUUGGGAUGGCGUGGGCCCUGGCUGACGGGCGGUGGUGUGAGUGAACAGAGACCAUCCGUGUGGAGGAGGAAUUAGCACCCCGUCAGGAGGACCUGGUACCCUGUGCCAGCCUUGACCAUUACAGCCGCCUGGGCUGGCGGCUGGACCUGCCCUGGAGUGGCCGCUCGGGGCUUACCCGGUCCCCAGCGCCUGGGCUCUGUCCUAUCUACAAACCUCCAGAAACCCGGCCUGCCAAGUGGAACCGGACAGUGAGGGCUUGUUGCCCAGGCUGGGGGGGCGCCCACUGCACUGAGGCCCUUGCCAAAGCCAGUCCUGAAGGCCACUGCUUUGCCAUGUGGCAGUGCCAGCUACAGGCAGGCUCAGCUAAUGCCUCAGCAGGAAGCCUGGAGGAGUGCUGCGCCCGGCCCUGGGGACGAAGCUGGUGGGAUGGCAGCUCCCAGGCCUGCCUCAGCUGCUCCAGCCGACACCUGCCAGGCAGUGCCUCUUCUCCAGCCCUCCUGCAGCCCCUGGCAGGGGCUGUGGGCCAGCUCUGGAGCCAGCACCAGCGUCCCUCGGCCACCUGUGCCUCCUGGUCGGGCUUCCACUACCGCACCUUUGAUGGCCGCCACUAUCACUUCCUGGGCCGCUGCACCUACCUGCUGGCGGGUGCUGCGGACUCCACCUGGGCUGUCCACCUAACACCCGGGGACCGCUGCCCCCAGCCUGGACACUGUGAGCGGGUCCAGGUGACUAUGGGACCUGAGGAGGUGCUGAUCCAGGCUGGAAAUGUGUCUGUGAAGGGGCAGCUGGUACCUGAAGGGCAGUCUUGGCUGCUCCACGGGCUGAGCCUGCAAUGGCUGGGGGACUGGCUGGUGCUGUCAGGGGGCCUGGGGGUCGUGGUGCGGCUGGACAGGACUGGCUCCAUCUCCAUCUCUGUGGACCACGAGCUCUGGGGACAGACACAAGGCCUCUGUGGGCUCUACAAUGGCUGGCCAGAGGAUGACUUCAUGGAGCCAGGCGGAGGGCUGGCCAUGUUAGCAGCCACCUUUGGAAAUUCCUGGAGGCUCCCUGGCUCGGAGCCUGGGUGUCUGGAUGCAGUGGAGGUGGCCCAGGGCUGUGACGGCCCCCUGGGGCUCACAGACGCAGAUGUAGAACCUGGCCACCUGCGGGCUGAAGCCCAGGACGUGUGCCAUCAGCUGCUGGAAGGUCCAUUCGGGCAGUGCCAUGCCCAGGUUUCCCCUGCUGAGUACCACGAGGCCUGUCUCUUUGCCUACUGCGCAGGGGCCAUGGCAGGCAGUGGGCAAGAGGGGUGGCAGCAGGCUGUUUGUGCCACCUUUGCCAGCUAUGUCCAGGCCUGUGCCAGGCGGCACAUCCACAUUCGCUGGAGGAAGCCUGGCUUCUGCGAGCGCCUGUGCCCCGGGGGCCAGCUCUACUCCGACUGCGUCUCCCUCUGCCCACCCAGCUGCGAGGCGGUGGGUCAGGGAGAGGAGGAGUCCUGCAGGGAAGAGUGUGUGAGUGGCUGUGAGUGCCUGCGAGGCCUCUUCUGGAAUGGCACCCUCUGUGUGCCUGCUGCCCACUGCCCCUGCUACUACCGCCGCCAGCGCUAUGCACCCGGUGACACCGUGCGCCAGCUGUGUAACCCCUGCGUGUGCAGGGAUGGCCGCUGGCACUGUGCCCAGGCCCUGUGCCCCGCCGAGUGUGCCGUGGGUGGGGACGGGCACUACCUCACCUUCGAUGGGCGGAGCUACUCCUUCCGGGGUGGUCAAGGUUGCCGCUACAGCCUGGUGCAGGACUAUGUGAAGGGACAGCUACUGAUCCUACUGGAGCAUGGGGCCUGCGACGCUGGGAGCUGCCUCCACGCCAUCUCCGUCUCCCUGGAGGACACCCACAUCCAGCUCAGGGACUCAGGAGCUGUGCUGGUCAAUGGGCAGGAUGUGGACUUGCCCUGGAUUGGCGCUGAGGGCCUCAGUGUGCGCCGAGCUUCCUCUGCCUUUCUGCUGCUGCGCUGGCCUGGGGCCCAGGUGCUCUGGGGACUGUCUGACCCUGCAGCCUACAUCACCCUGGACCCCCGCCAUGCCCACCAGGUGCAGGGUCUGUGUGGUACCUUCACCCAGAACCAGCAGGACGACUUCCUGACACCAGCCGGAGAUGUGGAAACUAGCAUUGCUGCCUUUGCUAGCAAGUUCCAGGUGGCCGGCAAGGGAAGAUGCCCCUCUGGGGACAGUGCCCUGCUGUCUCCCUGCACCACCCACUCCCAGCGCCACGCCUUCGCAGAGGCAGCCUGUGCCAUCCUGCACAGCUCUGUCUUCCAGGAAUGCCACAGGCUGGUGGACAAAGAGCCAUUCUAUCUGCGCUGCCUGGCAGCCGUGUGUGGCUGUGAUCCCGGCAGUGACUGCCUGUGCCCGGUGCUGUCUGCCUAUGCGCGUCGCUGUGCCCAGGAAGGUGCCUCACCUCCCUGGAGGAACCAGACCCUCUGCCCUGUUAUGUGUCCUGGUGGCCAGGAGUACCGAGAGUGUGCCCCAGCAUGCGGUCAACACUGCGGGGAACCAGAGGACUGUGGAGAGCUGGGCAGCUGUGUGGCUGGUUGUAACUGUCCUCUGGGGCUGCUGUGGGACCCUGAGGGCCAGUGUGUGCCCCCCAGCUUGUGCUCUUGCCAGCUCGGAGCCCGUCGCUAUGCCCCUGGCAGUGCCACCAUGAAGGAGUGCAACCGCUGCAUCUGCCAGGAAAGGGGCCUCUGGAAUUGCACAGCUCGCCACUGCCCUUCACAGCGGGCAUUCUGCCCCAGGGAGCUUGUCUAUGCCCCUGGUGCCUGUCUCCUCACCUGUGACAGCCCCAGCGCCAAUCACUCCUGCCCUGCAGGCAGUACUGAUGGCUGUGUCUGUCCACCAGGCACGGUGCUGCUGGACGAGCGCUGUGUGCCUCCUGACCUCUGUCCCUGCUGUCACAGUGGGCAGUGGUACCUGCCCAAUGCCACCAUCCAGGAAGACGGCAACGUUUGCGUGUGCCAGGGCCGGCAGUGGCACUGCACAGGCCAGCGGUGCAGUGGGCGGUGCCAGGCAUCAGGCGCCCCCCACUAUGUGACAUUUGACGGACUGGCCUUCACCUAUCCUGGGGCCUGCGAGUAUCUGCUGGUGGGAGAGGCCAGUGGCCUAUUCACAGUCUCUGCCCAGAACCUGCCCUGUGGGGCCAGCGGUCUCACCUGCACCAAAGCGCUGGCCGUGCGUCUGGAGGGCACUGUUGUGCACAUCCUCAGAGGCCGGGCAGUGACGGUGAAUGGGGUGAGCGUGACGCCCCCCAAGGUCUACACAGGCCCUGGGCUGAGCCUGCGUCGUGCUGGCCUCUUCCUGCUGCUCUCCACCCGCCUGGGCCUCACCCUGCUCUGGGAUGGAGGGACUCAGGUCCUGGUGCAACUGUCCCCUCAGUUCCGUGGUCGCGUGGCUGGGCUGUGUGGUGACUUUGAUGGAGAUGCCAGUAAUGAUCUGCGGAGCCGCCAGGGCGUCCUGGAGCCCACAGCUGAACUGGCCGCCCACUCCUGGCGCCUCAGCCCCCUCUGUCCUGAGCCAGGAGACCUGCCACACCCCUGCACGAUGAACGCACAUUGGGCUGGUUGGGCUCGGGCCCGCUGUGGGGCGCUGCUGCAGCCGCUCUUCACAUCAUGCCACGCGGAAGUCCCCCCGCAGCAGCACUAUGAGUGGUGCCUGUAUGACGCCUGUGGGUAAGGAGGGGCCAACCUGGAGUAGGGUAGAGGUGGGGGUGCCGGGACUGAAUGCUUCCUCCCACAGCUGCAACUCAGGGGGUGACUGUGAGUGCCUCUGCUCGGCCACUGCCACCUAUGCAGAUGAGUGUGCCCGGCAUGGGCACCACGUGUGCUGGCGUAGCCAGGAGCUCUGCCCCCUGCAGUGUGAAGGGGGACAGGUAUAUGAGGCCUGUGGCCCCACAUGUCCCCCCACCUGCCAUGAGCAGCAUCCUGAGCCCGGGUGGCACUGCCAGGUGGUGGCCUGUGUGGAGGGCUGCUUCUGCCCCGAGGGGACUCUGCUGCACGGAGGAGCCUGCUUGGAGCCAGCUUCCUGCCCCUGUGAGUGGGGCCGCAACUCCUUCCCGCCGGGGUCUGUGCUGCAAAAGGACUGCGGGAACUGCACGUGCCAGGAAGGUCAAUGGCAUUGUGGGGGUGACGGUGGCCACUGUGAGGAGCUUGUGCCUGCCUGUGCAGAGGGAGAGGCCGUGUGCCAAGAGAAUGGGCACUGUGUGCCCCAUGGGUGGCUUUGUGACAACCAGGACGACUGUGGCGAUGGCUCUGAUGAGGAGGGUUGUGCCGCCCCAGGCUGUGGGGAGGGGCAGAUGACUUGCAGCUCCGGCCACUGCCUGCCCCUGGCCCUGCUCUGUGACGGCCAGGAUGACUGUGGAGAUGGCACGGAUGAGCAGAGCUGUCCGUGCCCCCAGGGCUUGCUGGCCUGUGCCGAUGGACGCUGCCUGCCGCCGGCCCUGCUCUGCGAUGGGCAUCCUGACUGUACGGACGCCGCCGACGAGGAGUCCUGUCUGGGGCAGGUGACCUGCGUCCCCGGGGAGGUGUCCUGUGUCGAUGGCACCUGCCUGGGGGCCAUCCAGCUGUGUGACGGAGUCUGGGACUGCCCAGAUGGAGCCGAUGAGGGGCCGGGACACUGCCCCCUACCUUCUCUGCCCACGCCUCCUGCCAGCACCUUGCCUGGCCCCUCCCCUGGCUCCCUGGACACUGCGUCAAGUCCCCUGGCCAGCGCCAGCCCUGCGCCACCCUGCGGCCCCUUCGAGUUUCGGUGCGGCAGCGGCGAGUGCACCCCGCGGGGCUGGCGCUGCGACCAGGAGGAAGACUGCGCCGACGGCAGCGACGAGCGCGGCUGCGGAGGGCCCUGCGCGCCGCACCACGCGCCCUGCGCCCGCGGCCCUCACUGCGUGUCCCCCGAGCAGCUGUGCGACGGCGUGCGGCAGUGUCCCGACGGCUCGGACGAGGGCCCCGACGCCUGCGGUGAGGCUCCCGCGCCCCCGGCCAUGCGCGGCCCCCCUGGCCAAGCCGGCGGGCCCACCUCUUCCCGAGCGCCAUCCCCACCUUCGCCUCCUGAGGCACAGGGAGAGGGCAGGAAGGGACGGGAGCGGAGGAGGACACAUCUCACGGUGCCCGCAGGCUCCACCCAGCUGCCUCCGUGCCCUGGCUUCUUUCCCUGUGGUGUGGCUCCGGGGCUGUGCCUGACCCCUCAGCAGCUCUGUGAUGGGAUCCCAGACUGUCCCCAGGGCGAGGAUGAGCUGGACUGCGGGGGGCUGCCAGCCCUGGGAGGCCCCAACAGGACAGGGCUUCCCUGCCCAGAAUACACCUCCCCCAAUGGCACCUGCAUAGGCUUCCAGCUGGUGAGGGUGGGAGUGGAUGGAGGAGAUGGCAGUGCCAUGUUGCCUCCCAGCACAAGAGCCCUGACCCCACUCCCUCCCCAGGUGUGUGAUGGGCAGCCUGACUGUGGAAGGCCAGGGCAGGUGGGCCCCUCCCCAGAAGAGCAGGGUUGUGGGGCCUGGGGCCCCUGGAGCCCAUGGGGGCCCUGCAGCCGGACGUGUGGGCCCGGGGGCCAGGGCCGGAGCUGCCGCUGCUCCCCACUCGGCCUCCUGGUGCUACAGAACUGCCCAGGGCCUGAGCACCAGUCUCAGGCCUGCUUCACGGCAGCCUGCCCAGUGGACGGUGAAUGGAGCGCCUGGUCCCCCGGUCUGUGUGCUCUGAGCCGUGCAGGGGCACCAUGACGCGGCAACGGCAGUGCCACCCACCCCAGAAUGGGGGCCGCACCUGUGCUGCACUGCCCGGAGGCCCGCACAGCACCCGCCAGACCAAGCCUUGCCCUCAGGACGGCUGCCCCAAUGCCACCUGCUCUGGGGAGCUGAUGUUCCAGCCCUGUGCCCCCUGCCCACUGACCUGUGAUGACAUAUCUGGCCAGGUCACGUGCCCACCUGAUCGGCCCUGCGGCAGCCCGGGCUGCUGGUGCCCAGAAGGGCAGGUGCUGGGCAGCGAGGGGUGGUGUGUGUGGCCCCGGCAGUGCCCCUGCCUGGUGGACGGUGCCCGCUACUGGCCCGGGCAACGCAUCAAGGCCGACUGCCGGCUCUGCAUCUGCCAAGACGGAUGGCCCCGACGCUGCCGACUCAACCCGGACUGCGCUGUGGACUGUGGCUGGUCCUCCUGGUCACCCUGGGCUGAGUGCCUGGGCCCCUGUGGAAGCCAGAGCAUCCAGUGGUCCUUCCGGAGCCCCAACAACCCCCGCCCCUCCGGCCGAGGUCGCCAGUGCCGUGGCAUCCACCGCAAGGCACGCAGGUGCCAGACGGAGCCCUGUGAGGGGUGUGAGCAUCAGGGCCAGGUCCACCGUGUCGGGGAACGCUGGCGUGGGGGCCCCUGCAGGGUGUGCCAGUGUCUGCACAACCUCACCGCACGCUGCUCACCCUACUGCCCGCUCGGCAGCUGCCCCCAGGGCUGAGUCUUGGUGGAGGGGACGAGAGAAUCAUGCUGCCACUGUGCCCUACCUGGAGAGAACCAGAUGGUCCAGCCCAUGGCCACUCCUGCCGCAGCUCCGGCUCCCAGUCCCCAGAUCAGAUUCCCUUUGGCCACUUACAUUCUGCCUCCGCCAGGAGUCCCCUGCUAUUUUCCCCUGGGGCUGGCGGGACUGGCUGAGGGGAGUCUGCAUGCAUCGUCCCAGCAGCUGGAACACCCCACCCAGGCUGCCCUCCUGGGGGCUCCCACCCAGGGGCCCAGCCCUCAGGGAUGGCACGCUGGAGGGGAUGCUUAUGCCAAGUGGCACACUCGGCCCCAUUACCUGCAGCUGGACCUGCUUCAGCCUCGGAACCUCACUGGCAUCAUAGUGCCGGAGGCUGGCUCCUCCAACGCAUAUGCCAGCAGCUUCUCACUCCAGUUCAGCAGCAAUGGUCUACACUGGCAUGACUAUUGUGACCUCCUGCCUGGCAUCUUGCCCCUGCCCAAGGUAUCACCCGCCCAAGGCCGAUGGGGCCAGCAGCCCACCAUGCCCUUUUGUGGGUUCCAUAGUCUUUGUCCCCAAGGGCCUUCCAGUGUCCCCGAGGGGCAUGGCCUGCAUUCGAUGCUUGUUGAAUACCUGGUGAGUAGCAGGGACUGUGCUCUGUGGAGCCGAGGCUUGGGUGCCACUGUCACAUGGAUGCUGGAAACCAUCCAAGUGGCUUAGACUCAGGGCAGGUAUGUGAAGCCUGCAAGGGAGAGAGGAUGGGGAGACACCAAGUUCACUGAGGGCCUCCGGGAGCCCAGACCCACGCAGGUCUUCGUGGAGAGCAGCCUGGGCACAGCCCUGCCCUCAGGGGGUUUGCAUCCUUCCCGGAGACAAACUGCACGAGGCGGUAGGAAUCAGUCCAUGCUGUGUUAAGUCUUAACUGUUUCAGGAGCACCUGCUCUGUGCCAGGUGCCGAGCCAGGCCCUGGGGACACAGCAGUGAACAGGACCUGGCCUUUGCCCUAGGGGCACCUCCAGCUUAGUGGGAGGAGCUCAGUCCAGGACCAGCCCCCUCCAGCCUUGAGAGGCCCAAAUGCCUACUGCCAGGGUGGGGGGCAUGGCUCUGGGAGGGGCCGUGAAAACUGGGGAAAAAGUGGGGUCACUCAAAGUCAUGAGGUCAGCCUGAAAAAGAGGUGAAGCUUAGUCAUCAGCAUCCUCUGCUGGCAGCUUUUCCCCAGAAACUGGGAUGACCUGGACCCUGCCGUAUGGACUUUCGGCCGCAUGGUGCAGGCGAGGUUUGUCAGGGUGUGGCCCCACGAUGUCCACCACAGCGAUGUCCCCCUGCAGGUGGAGCUGCUGGGCUGCGAGCCAGGUACAGGUUGCGCAGGGGUGGGCAGGGCAGGAGAGAGAGGGGCCAUGGGAGGAGCCCUCAGCCAUACGUCCUCCACACAGGGUCCCCACCGGCACCUCUGUGCCCAGGGGUUGGAUUCCGCUGUGCCAGUGGUGAGUGUGUCCUGAGAGGGGGCCCAUGUGACGGUGCUCUGGACUGCGAGGAUGGCUCGGAUGAGGAGGGCUGUGUGUUGCUGCCUGAGGGCACUGGCAGAUUCCAUUCCACAGCCAAGACCCUGGCCCUCUCCUCUGCCCAGCCGGGGCAGCUGCUGCACUGGCCCAGGGAGGGCCUGGUAGAGACUGAGCACUGGCCUCCCGGGCAGGAAUCCCCCACGUCCCCGACAGAGACAAGGCCCGUGAGUCCUGGCCCAGCCUCCGGGGUGCCUCACCAUGGGGAAUCUAUGCAGAUGGUGACCACCACCCCCAUACCCCAGAUGGAGGCCAGGACCCUGCCACCAGGUAUGGCAGCUGUGACGGUGCUGCCCCCACACCCUGUGACUCCAGCGACCCCUGCUGGCCAGAGCGUCGCCCCAGGACCCUUCCCACCUGUGCAGUGUGGCCCCGGCCAGACGCCCUGUGAGGUGCUGGGCUGCGUGGAACAGGCGCAGGUGUGUGAUGGCAGGGAGGAUUGCCUCGACGGCUGCGGAAUCUACUUAUGUGGCUCCCUUCUCUCCCUGCCUUGUGGGCAGCGAGCACUGUGCCCUUCAUGGUGCCUACCACGGCCCUGCCUGGGCUUCCAGCCUCAAGGGCCCUCUGUUUCCCGAGCCAGCUGAGCUGUGGCAGCGGGGAGUGUCUGUCUGCUGAGCGGCGCUGUGACCUGCAGCCUGACUGCCAGGAUGGCUCGGACGAGGAUGGCUGUGUGGACUGCGUGCUGGGCCCCUGGUCUGUCUGGAGCAGCUGCAGCCGCAGCUGUGGCCUGGGCCUCACCUUCCAGCGCCAGGAGCUGCUGCGGCCUCCUCUGCCAGGGGGCAGCUGCCCGCGUGACCGGUUCCGAAGCCAGUCCUGCUUUGUGCAGGCCUGCCCAGUGGCUGGGGCAUGGGCCAUGUGGGAGGCCUGGGGACCCUGCAGCGUCUCCUGCGGGGGUGGCCAUCAGAGUCGCCAGAGAAGCUGUGUGGACCCCCCACCCAAGAAUGGCGGUGCCCCCUGCCCUGGGGCCUCCCAAGAGAGGGCACCCUGCGGCUUGCAGCCCUGCUCAGGUGGCACAGACUGCGAGCUGGGCCGUGUGUAUGUGAGUGCCGAUCUGUGCCAGAAGGGGCUGGUGCCCCCAUGCCCACCCUCCUGCCUGGAUCCCAAGGCCAACAGAAGCUGCAGUGGGCAUUGUGUGGAAGGAUGCCGCUGUCUCCCGGGGCUCCUUCUGCAUGACACUCGCUGCCUGCCCCUCUCUGAGUGCCCCUGCCUGGUGGGCGAAGAGCUGAAGUGGCCAGGGGUGUCCUUCCUCCUGGGCAACUGCAGCCAAUGGUGAGGGCGGCCGCACCAGGGAGGGCACUGUACCUCCCUGACCAGUUCCUCAGCCUCUCCCUCCCCUGCAGCGUGUGUGAGAAGGGGGAGUUGCUGUGCCAACCAGGGGGCUGCCCCCUGCCCUACGGCUGGUCAGCCUGGUCCUCCUGGGCUCCCUGCGACCGCUCCUGUGGCUCUGGAGUGAGGGCCAGGUUCAGGUCUCCCUCCAACCCUCCGGCAGCCUGGGGGGGUGCCCCGUGUGAAGGUGACCGGCAGGAACUGCAGGGCUGCCACACAGUGUGUGGGACAGAGGUGUUGGGCUGGACACCCUGGACUUCCUGGUCCUCCUGCUCCCAAAGCUGCCUUGCCCCGGGAGGGGGCCCUGGCUGGCGCAGUCGUUCCCGACUCUGCCCCAGCCCUGGGGAUUCAUCCUGCCCAGGAGACGCCACCCAGGAGGAGCCCUGCAGCCCCCCUGUACGCCCAGUGCCAAGUGUCUGGGGUCUGUGGGCUCCCUGGUCCACUUGCUCAGCCCCCUGUGAUGGAGGCAUCCAGACACGCGGGUGCAGCUGCUCCAGCUUGGCUCCAGGGGACACCACAUGCCCAGGACCCCACAGUCAGACCAGGGACUGCAACACGCAGCCCUGCACAGCCCAGUGCCCAGAGAACAUGGUGUUCCGCUCAGCAGAGCAGUGUCACCAGGAGGGGGGUCCUUGCCCUCGGCUAUGCCUGACGCAGGGCCCCGGGAUAGAGUGUACGGGCUUCUGCGCCCCUGGCUGCACCUGCCCCUGCCCCGCUGGUCUCUUCCUGCACAAUGCUAGCUGCCUGCCCCGCAGCCAGUGCCCCUGCCAGCUGCACGGGCAGCUCUAUGCAUCAGGAGCAAUGGCUCGCCUGGACUCCUGCAACAACUGCACCUGUGUCUCCGGUGAGAUGGCAUGCACCUCGGAGCGCUGCCCAGUGGCCUGUGGCUGGAGUCCCUGGACCCCGUGGAGUCUCUGUAGCCGCAGCUGCAAUGUGGGCAUUCGGCGCCGCUUCCGGGCAGGCACUGCACCCCCAGCUGCCUUUGGGGGUGCUGAGUGCCAAGGCCCCACCAUGGAGGCUGAAUUCUGCAGCCUGCGGCCAUGUCCAGGUCCUGGUGGGGAGUGGGGCCCUUGGUCUCCGUGCUCUGUGCCCUGUGGUGGUGGCUACAGGAACCGCACCCGAGGCAGCGGCCUGCGCAGCCUCAUGGAGUUUUCCACCUGUGGCCUGCAGCCCUGCGCAGGGCCAGUGCCUGGCGUGUGUCCCAGGGACAAGCAGUGGCUGGACUGUGCCCAGGGCCCUGCCUCUUGUGCAGAGCUCAGCGCCCCAGGAGGGACUAACCAGACCUGCCACCCUGGCUGCCACUGCCCCUCUGGGAUGCUUCUGCUGAACAACGUGUGUGUGCCCACCCAGGACUGCCCCUGUGCCCACGAGGGGCACCUCUACCCCCCGGGCAGCACUGUGGUUCGUCCAUGUGAAAACUGCUCCUGUGUCUCCGGGCUCAUCGCCAACUGCAGCUCCUGGCCUUGUGCGGAGGGUGAGCCCACGUGGUCACCCUGGACCCCUUGGAGCCAGUGUUCAGCGUCCUGCGGCCCUGCCCGGCGCCAUUGGCACCGGUUCUGUGCCAGGUCCCCCAGUGCAGUGCCAUCCACCGUGGCUCCGCUGCCCCUGCCAGCCACCCCCACACCUCUCUGCUCAGGCCCCAAGGCUGAAGAGGAGCCAUGUCUCCUGCAGGGGUGUGAUCGUGAGAGCUGGGGGAUGGGGUCCAUGGGGGCCCUGGUCCCACUGUAGCCGGAGCUGUGGGGGAGGCCUGCGGAGCCGGACCCGGGCCUGUGACCAGCCCCCACCCCAGGGCCUCGGGGAUUACUGCGAGGGGCCACGGGCACAGGGGGAGGUCUGCCAGGCUCUGCCCUGCCCAGUGACCAACUGCACCGCCAUUGAAGGGGCCGAGUAUAGCCCCUGUGGCCCUCCGUGCCCUCGCUCCUGUGAUGACCUAAUGCACUGCGUGUGGCGCUGCCAGCCUGGCUGCUACUGCCCACCAGGCCAGGUACUGAGUUCCAGUGGGGCCAUCUGCGUGCAGCUGGGUCACUGCAGCUGCCUGGACCUGCUGACCGGGCAGCGGCACCAUCCGGGUGCUCGGCUGGCAAGGCCUGAUGGCUGCAACCACUGCACCUGCCUGGAGGGGAGGCUGAACUGCACAGACCUGCCCUGCCCAGUGCCCGGAGGCUGGUGCCCGUGGUCGGAGUGGACAAUGUGCUCCCAGCCCUGCAGGGGCCAGACCAGGAGCCGCUCCAGGGCCUGUGCCUGCCCCACUCCUCAGCACGGUGGUGCCCCGUGCACUGGAGAGGCUGGGGAGGCAGGGGCCCAGCAUCAGAGGGAGGCCUGCCCCAGCUACGCCACGUGCCCAGUGGACAGAGCCUGGGGCCCAUGGGGGCCAUGGUCUCCCUGCGACAUGUGCUUGGGGCAGUCCCACCGGAGCCGGGCGUGCAGCCGGCCCCCCACCCCUGAGGGAGGGAGGCCCUGCCCUGGGAGCCACAUGCAGAGUCGCCCUUGCCAGGAAAAUUCCACCCAGUGCACAGACUGCAGGGGUGGCCAGAGUCUGCACCCCUGUGGGCAGCCCUGCCCUCGCUCCUGCCAGGACCUGUCCUCUGGGAGUGUGUGCCAGCCAGGCUCUGUGGGCUGCCAGCCCAGUUGUGGGUGCCCCCUGGGCCAGCUCUCCCAGGACGGGCUGUGCGUGCCCCCAGACCACUGCCGCUGCCAGUACCAGCCUGGAGCCAUGGGGAUCCCUGAGAACCAGAGCCGCUCAGCAGGGUCUAGGUUUAGCUCCUGGGAGAGCCUGGAACCCGGAGAGGUGGUCACUGGGCCAUGUGACAACUGCACCUGUGUGGCAGGCAUUCUGCAAUGCCAGGAGGUGCCCGACUGCCCGGACCCUGGGGUGUGGAGCUCUUGGGGCCCUUGGGAAGACUGCAGUGUUUCGUGUGGGGGCGGGGAGCAGCUGCGCUCCUGGCGCUGUGCUCGUCCUCCCUGCCCAGGGCCUGCCCGCCAGAGCCGCACGUGCAGCACACAGGUCUGCAGAGAGGCAGGCUGCCCGACUGGCCGCCUGUACCGUGAAUGCCAGCCCGGCGAGGGAUGCCCCUUCUCCUGCGCCCACGUCACGCAGCAGGUGGGCUGCUUCUCCGAGGGCUGCGAGGAGGGCUGCCACUGCCCCGAGGGCACCUUCCAGCACCGCCUGGCCUGUGUGCAGGAGUGCCCUUGUGUGCUGACAGCCUGGCUGCUGCAGGAGCUGGGAGCCACCAUAGGUGACCCUGGUCAGCCCCUCAGGCCUGGAGAUGAGCUGGACUCAGGCCAGACACUUCGUACAAGCUGUGGCAACUGCUCGUGUGCACACGGGAAGCUGUCUUGCUCCCUGGACGACUGCUUCGAGACCGAUGGUGGUUUCGGUCCCUGGAGCCCGUGGGGCCCGUGCUCCCGCUCCUGUGGAGGGCUGGGCACCCAUACCCGCAGCCGCCAGUGUGUGCUCACCAUGCCCACCCUCAGUGGUCAGGGCUGCCGUGGGCCCCACCAGGACCUCGAGUACUGCCCCAGCCCAGACUGCCCUGGGGCUGAAGGGUCCAUGGUGGAGCCAGUGACAGGCCUUCCAGGUGGCUGGGGCCCGUGGUCCUCCUGGUCCCCCUGCUCCAGAAGCUGCACGGACCCCGCUCGCCCUGCAUGGCGCAGCCGCAGCCGCCUCUGCCUGGCUAACUGCACCAUGGGGGACCCAUUACAGGAGCGCCCCUGCAACCUGCCCUCAUGCACAGAGCUGCCCGUGUGCCCUGGCCCUGGCUGUGGGGCUGGGAAAUGUUCCUGGACCUCCUGGGCCCCGUGGGAACCUUGCUCCCGCAGCUGCGGGGUGGGCCAGCAGCGCCGCCUGCGGGCAUACCAUCCCCCUGGGCCCGGCGGGCACUGGUGCCCCAACAUCCUUACUGCCUACCAAGAGCGCCGCUUCUGCAACCUGCGAGCCUGCCCAGUGCCCGGGGGCUGGUCACGCUGGAGUCCCUGGUCCUGGUGUGACCGCAGCUGUGGAGGAGGCCAAUCCCUGAGAAGCCGCAGCUGCUCAAGCCCCCCAUCCAAGAACGGGGGAGCCCCCUGUGCUGGGGAGCGGCACCAGGCCCGCCUCUGCAAUCCCAUGCCUUGUGAGGCCGGCUGCCCAGCAGGCAUGGAGGUGGUCACCUGUGCCAACCGCUGCCCCCGCCGCUGCUCAGACCUCCAGGAGGGAAUUGUGUGUCAGGACGACGAGGUCUGCCAGAAGGGCUGCCGCUGCCCAAAGGGGUCCCUGGAGCAGGAUGGUGGCUGUGUGCCAAUUGGGCACUGUGACUGCACCGAUGCCCAGGGCCACAGCUGGGCCCCGGGGAGCCAGCACCAGGAUGCCUGCAACAACUGCUCAUGCCAAGCUGGGUAGCUCUCCUGCACGGCUCAGCCCUGCCCGCCUCCCACCCACUGUGCCUGGAGCCGCUGGUCGGCCUGGAGUCCCUGCAGCCACUCAUGCGGGCCCGGAGGGCAGCAGAGCCGCUUCCGGUCCUCCACGUCGGGCUCGUGGGCCCCAGAGUGUCGGGAGGAGCAGUCCCAGAGCCAGCCCUGCCCUCAGCCCUCGUGCCCACCCCUGUGCCUGCAGGGCACUCGCUCCCGCACCCUGGGGGACAGCUGGCUGCAGGGGGAGUGCCAGCGGUGGUGAGUGCAGGGCAGGGAGUGGGGCUGGGACCGCCCUGCUGGAGAGCAGGGUCCUGAGUCCUGGCUCUUUCCCAGCUCCUGCACCGCGGAGGGUGUGAUCUGCGAAGACACGGAGUGUGCAGUGCCUGAGGCCUGGACGCUGUGGUCCUCCUGGUCCGACUGCCCUGUCUCCUGUGGAGGUGGAAACCAGGUCCGAACCCGGGCCUGCAGGGCCGCAGCCCCUCACCACAGGAGCCCACCCUGCCUGGGCCCUGACACCCAGACCCAGCCCUGCGGGCAGCAGCCUUGCCCAGGGCUGCUGGAGGCCUGCUCCUGGGGCCCGUGGGGGCCCUGUUCCCGCAGCUGCGGCCCAGGCCUGGCCUCUCGCUCUGGGUCCUGCCCCUGCCUGAUGGCCAAGGCCGACCCCACCUGCAACAGCACCUUCCUCCACCUGGACACCCAGGGCUGCUACCCAGGGCUCUGCCCAGAGGAGUGUGUGUGGAGCAGCUGGAGCAGCUGGACGCGCUGCUCUUGCCGGGUGCUGGUGCAGCAGCGCUACCGACACCAGGGCCCGGCGUCCCGAGGGGCCAGGGCAGGCGCCCCCUGCACGCGGCUGGAUGGCCACUUCCGGCCUUGCCUUAUCAGCAACUGCUCUGAGGACAGCUGCACACCUCCCUUUGAGUUCCAUGCCUGCGGCUCCCCCUGUGCUGGGCUGUGUGCCACACACCUGAGCCAUCAGCUCUGCCAGGACCUGCCACCCUGCCAGCCGGGCUGCUACUGCCCCAAGGGGCUGCUGGAGCAGGCUGGGGGCUGCAUUCCCCCGGAGGAGUGUAACUGCUGGCAUACCUCAGCAGCGGGAGCCGGGAUGACCCUGGCCCCUGGGGACCGCCUGCAGCUGGGCUGUAAGGAGUGUGAAUGCCGGCGUGGGGAGCUGCACUGCACCAGCCAGGGCUGUCAAGGUCUUCUGCCUCUGAGUGAGUGGUCUGAGUGGUCGCCCUGUGGGCCCUGCCUGCCGCCCAGCGCCCUGGCCCCUGCCUCCAGGACUGCCCUAGAGGAGCGCUGGCUCCGAGACCCAACUGGCCUCUCCCCCACCUCGGCCCCACUGCUGGCUUCAGAGCAGCACCGCCACCGGCUCUGUCUGGAUCCUGUGACAAGGAGGCCCUGGACUGGAGCGCCUCACCUCUGCACCGCACCCCUCAGCCAGCAGCGCCUCUGCCCUGACCCUGGAGCCUGCCCUGACUCAUGCCAGUGGAGUCUGUGGGGGCCAUGGAGCCCCUGCCAGGUGCCCUGCAGUGGGGGGUUCAGGCUACGCUGGAGAGAGGCAGAGGCCCUCCGUGGAGGAGGCUGCCAGGGGCCAUGGGCUCAGACAGAAAGCUGCAACAGAGGGCCCUGCCCAGGUGAGAGCUGCGAGGCCCAAGACACUGUAUUCACCCUGGACUGUGCCAACCAGUGCCCACGCAGCUGUGCCGACCUCUGGGACCGCGUUCAGUGCCUGCAGGGACCCUGCCGCCCAGGCUGCCGCUGUCCCCCUGGCCAGCUGGUCCAGGAUGGGCGCUGUGUGCCGAUCUCCUCUUGCCGCUGUGGCCUCCCCAGUGCCAAUGCCUCUUGGGAGCUGGCCCCGGCCCAGGCAGUGCAGCUGGACUGCCAAAACUGCACCUGUGUCAACGGGUCCCUGGUGUGCCCACACCAGGAGUGUCCAGUCCUUGGGCCUUGGUCAGCCUGGAGCAGUUGCUCGGCCCCCUGUGGUGGGGGCCCUAUGGAGCGACAUCGGACCUGCGAGGGGGGUCCUGGGGUGGCACCAUGCCAGGCCCAGGACACAGAGCAACGGCAGGAGUGUAACCUGCAGCCCUGCCCUGAGUGCCCCCCUGGCCAGGUGCUUAGCACCUGUGCCACCUCAUGCCCGCGCCUCUGCUGGCAUCUGCAGCCUGGUGCCAUCUGUGUGCAGGAGCCCUGCCAGCCUGGCUGUGGCUGCUCUGGAGGGCAGCUGCUGCACAAUGGCACGUGUGUGCCUCCCACUGCCUGCCCCUGCACCCAGCAUUCUCUGCCCUGGGGCCUCACCCUGACCCUGGAAGAGCAGGCCCAGGAGCUACCCCCAGGGACUGUGCUCACCCGGAACUGCACCCGCUGUGUCUGCCACGGUGGAGCCUUCAGCUACUCCCUCAUUGACUGUCAGGAGUGCCCCCCUGGGGAAAUGUGGCAGCAGGUGGCCCCGGGGAGCUGGGGCUCUGCGAGCAGACGUGCCUGGAGAUGAAUGCCACAGAGACCCAGAGUAACUGCAGUUCAGCUCGAGCCUCGGGCUGCGUGUGCCAGCCCGGGCACUUCCGCAGCCAGGCAGGCCCCUGCGUCCCCGAAGACCACUGCGAGUGCUGGCACCUCGGGCAUCCCCACCUGCCUGGAUCUGAAUGGCAGGAGGCCUGUGAGAGCUGCCUCUGCCUCAGUGGGAGGCCUGUCUGCACCCAGCACUGCUCCCCACUCACCUGUGCUCAGGGCGAGGAGAUGGUGCUGGAGCCAGGGAGCUGCUGUCCCUCUUGCCGCAGGGAGGCUCCGGAGGAGCAGUCGCCCUCCUGCCAGCUCCUCACGGAGCUUCGAAACUUCACCAAAGGGACCUGUUACCUGGACCAGGUAGAAGUGAGCUACUGCAGUGGGUACUGCCCAUCCAGCACCCAUGUCAUGCCAGAGGAGCCAUACCUGCAGAGCCAGUGUGACUGCUGCAGCUACCGUCUAGACCCGGAGAGCCCUGUGCGGAUCCUGAACCUGCGCUGUCUGGGUGGCCACACAGAGCCCGUGGUGCUGCCGGUCAUCCACAGCUGCCAGUGCAGCUCCUGCCAGGGUGGGUGACUUCUCAAAGCGCUAACAGGCUCCGCUGGGUGAGUCCACAGCUGUCCCUCUUGUGAUCAUGGGACUCAGCAGCACUGACCACGUCCUUCCACGCUCUCUCACCUGCCCCCAACUGGGGGCCCAUGACUUGGCAUUAGCAUGUUCCAAAUAAA